This 253-nucleotide ribosomal RNA is filed under the name uncultured bacterium. RNAcentral describes it as "partial 16S ribosomal RNA". It matches the Rfam family "Bacterial small subunit ribosomal RNA", at positions 524 to 776 of the family's 1533-position model. The record is from RNAcentral.
UACGUAGGGGGCUAGCGUUGUCCGGAAUCAUUGGGCGUAAAGAGCGUGUAGGCGGUCCGGUAAGUCCGCUGUGAAAGUCAAGGGCUCAACCCUUGGAUGCCGGUGGAUACUGCAGGGCUAGAGUCCGGAAGAGGCGAGUGGAAUUCCUGGUGUAGCGGUGAAAUGCGCAGAUAUCAGGAGGAACACCGAUGGCGAAGGCAGCUCGCUGGGACGGUACUGACGCUGAGGCGCGAAAGCGUGGGGAGCAAACAGG